GCAGUCGUGGCCGAGCGGAUAAGGCGAUGGACUUGAAAUCCAUUGGGGUCUCCCCGCACAGGUUCGAAUCCUGUCGACAUGCG
RNAcentral lists this transfer RNA (83 nucleotides) under Rhipicephalus sanguineus (brown dog tick). RNAcentral describes it as "transfer RNA serine (anticodon UGA)". It matches the Rfam family "tRNA". From Rfam's summary of the family: Transfer RNA (tRNA) molecules are approximately 80 nucleotides in length. The record is from RNAcentral. Lineage: Eukaryota; Metazoa; Arthropoda; Arachnida; Ixodida; Ixodidae.